Molecule: long non-coding RNA, 510 nt
Filed under: Homo sapiens (human)
Lineage: Eukaryota; Metazoa; Chordata; Mammalia; Primates; Hominidae
Description: HSALNT0175983
Source: RNAcentral
AACAAUACUCAUCCAGGCGGAUGGCCCACCAGCGCAAAGGGCUGAAAAGUUCCAUGGCAGCCUCAUAACUGGAGGGUGUGUCCAUGAGGAGGGUUUCGAUGACACGCUGAAAGCUCGGGCAGAUCUCUGCAGAAGCUGCAACACAGAGGAGAGAAGGCACAUGUCUCCAGGCCCCUUUCCAAGCUGGCUAGCCCUCUGGCUGGGUCUGCCCAGAUGCAAACAGCCAGGCCCAUCAGCGAGAGAUAGCAGCCUUUUCAUCGAUGGACUAGAGUGUAAGAUUUGUGGAUUGCCCGAGUCUUCCUUAGACUUCUUGGGUUGAGGUGAGCAAGGUGCCGUUUUUCUUUCUGUUGGAGAUCAAGGCAGAGUAUUGAUCAUAGAAGCUGCUGGCCUGAUUUUUUAAUGCAGUGUGGAGGCUGGGAAGAGGCCACUGAGGGUUUUAUUUCCCACCAGAAACUUGCCUCUCAUCAGUGGUUAGAGAUGCCCUGAGCCAUGCUUCACUGGGGGCAUGUG